UUUCCAGUUUUUAGCAACCACCUGCAUUCCUUGACCCAUGGCGUCUUCCUCCAUCUUCAAAGCCAGCAGCACAGCAUCUUCAAAUCUCUCUCU
This is a non-coding RNA of Vicugna pacos (alpaca), 93 nucleotides long. The record is from RefSeq and is a predicted model, not a curated record. NCBI's taxonomy places the organism in Eukaryota, Metazoa, Chordata, Mammalia, Artiodactyla, Camelidae.